This is a long non-coding RNA of Tachyglossus aculeatus (Australian echidna), 526 nucleotides long. RefSeq lists it as uncharacterized. The record is from RefSeq and is a predicted model, not a curated record. NCBI's taxonomy places the organism in Eukaryota, Metazoa, Chordata, Mammalia, Monotremata, Tachyglossidae. The transcript has 3 exons.
AUAUGGAGGGGGAGGAAGAUCAUCAUCAUCACUCAAAGGGAGCCGAACGUAUAACAAUUAGAAGCACAUGUUGCUGCAUCUCAUCUGGACAAAUCUCAAGAGGCUCCAAGCUUUGUUGGCUAAUGAAUAUGUCCUAGAAAGGCAUUUGCCAAAGAUGUUUUCUGCCAGUGGGAUUGAAAAGACCUGGACUUCAUCCUCUGUAGUGAAACUGCUCACAUACUUGAAGAUCAUUAUUAAGAAGCUCUCCAUCUUCUCUUCCCUAAGUUUGACCUCCAAGUCUUUGACUGCCAAGCUCAUUCAUAGCCAGUCAUUCCACAUCCUGUAUUUACACAGUUUGCUUUUCCAACUAGAAUUACUCUGCUCUGCUGAAUAUAUAUUUAUGUUGACCCUAUGUUCGUCUGUGUUAUCUCUCUCUUAAUUUGUAAGUCCCUUUAGGGCAGGAACUGUAUCUACUUCUUUCCACAUGUCCUGAGGAUUUGGUAUGGUGCUAUGAAUUAUGAGAGUGCUUAAUAAAUAUUUUCUGAUA